Molecule: non-coding RNA, 80 nt
Filed under: Kaistia soli
Lineage: Bacteria; Pseudomonadati; Pseudomonadota; Alphaproteobacteria; Hyphomicrobiales; Kaistiaceae
Also listed under: 1 other name
Source: RNAcentral
CUGUCAGUUCGUGGUCCUUUGAGCCGACCGGCUUGCCGCCACGUUAAACAAGGUCGCUAAAAGGUCGGUUGCGGCGAACC